Molecule: long non-coding RNA, 200 nt
Organism: Zingiber officinale
Lineage: Eukaryota; Viridiplantae; Streptophyta; Magnoliopsida; Zingiberales; Zingiberaceae
Exons: 2
Source: RefSeq, a predicted model, not a curated record
GUAGACCUCAGUAGCAUUUACUAGCUUCAUAAUUGCAGCCAUCCCAACUAUUAUCGUUGAUGCUGUCAGGAGAGAGUUCCAGUUGCUAGUCCCCUGCAGCCCACGAGACUAUUUACUUAUCUUUUGACUUUAUGUAUUAGACUAUGUUUUGAACUUGUAUUGUUUAGAUACUUGGAGCUUGUAUGGAUUAUAUUUGUCGA